GGAGGGCUGGUUUUAUUUAGGGAGACACCAAGGUGAUGUGGAAGAGAUGUGGGUGGGAAGGGAGAGCUUAGCCAAUGGAAAUAAAGUCCUCCCCCCUACACACGCCACUAGAGACAAGAUUAAAAGCGAGAGCGAGGGAGAAAAGGCUUCAAACAAGUCGCUCGGCAGCCCGGAGCCUGGCCAGUGGAGGAGACAAAGACAGUGGCCAAAUGAUUGUACCAGUGGAAAACAGAAUGUGUGCACUUGGCCUUGGGGAGACGGAGGAGAAAACUGCAGAAGCCAGUCCACACAGAGAGGACUUUUGGGGUUUGGCUGCCAACUGAUAUGAGCCCUGGAAUGGAUUUAACUUGCUGUGUGGCCUUUGGAAAAUCAUGUAGCAUCUCUGUGCUGUUUCCUUGUUUGUGCUAAAUUAUUGCUGAGGCCUCCUCUUGUGCCAGCUUUCUAUGCCACUACAAUUUGACACGAUCCUUGACCAAAUCAUAAAUUCCUGGUUAAUGGGAUAAAAAUGAGUUAGAAUCUGGGAUUCUGGUCAUUAACCCCAUGUCACCAUCUGCUGGAGCGGUGUGAUGACAGGGUCAGGUGAAUCCAAACCGCCCAACACUUGUUAAACAUGCAGAUACUUGUUCUAUCCUCUCUCCGCCCCCUCCUCCACCCCCACGGAAUCAGAAUCUCUAGGGUGCAGGGAAGGCUCUCCUCCUUUAUGGGAUUAUGGAGGGCAGAGCGGGGAUCCCACCAGAACCAGCCACAUUCCAGGAGCUCCUGUCUAUCAGGCAUGCCAAGACAUUUUUCCGGAGUUUUGCACUUGGAUUUCCCUCAGCCUGGGAAGGUUUCCCCCACAGCUGGCGUCUUCUCAUAUGUCACCUGCACAGAGAGGACUUGGCUGGCCCCUCUAUCUCCCCCCUCCCCCCUUCCUCCCCACUAACCCAUCACUUGUUUCCUUUCCUUUUCAGUACUAAUCAUUUUUUGAAAUUCAUCUCCUCUUCUUGUGAAUUAUCUACUACUCCUACUGGAACAGAAGGCCCCACUCCAUCCCCACCCCCACCCCCAGGGGCAGAGACCCUUCCUGGGUGUUGGAGGCCAUACCUCAGCAUGAGGGGCACGGGAGAUGCUCUGGGAUGUGAGCAUUCCCUUACCUCCAAGCCCAAAGCUUCUUCUCUGAGAUGCAAGAAUGGGGACCCCCUUCUGACCCUGAGAAACCUGUGUCCUGUCCUGAAGUCAGUUCCUGAAGACAGCCAACCUUGACAUUUGCCACGCUAGCUUUUCUCUGUUUUCCUCACCUGACGGCAUAAUGAUGUCAUAAAGAAACAACUGAAACAGUAGGUGUUUAAUAAAGGCUUGCUAAUACGAAAUAAGGAAGGCAAUCACAGAAGGACCUCCAGACUCUUCCUUACUCUCAAUCAAUUUU
Molecule: long non-coding RNA, 1405 nt
Organism: Canis lupus familiaris (dog)
Lineage: Eukaryota; Metazoa; Chordata; Mammalia; Carnivora; Canidae
Exons: 4
Source: RefSeq, a predicted model, not a curated record